GACAGAGGGGGCAAGCGUUGUCCGGAUUUACUGGGUGUAAAGGGCGCGCAGGCGGGAUAAAAAGUCAGUGGUGAAAUCCUACAGCUUAACUGUAGAACUGCCUUUGAUACUUUUAUUCUUGAGUUCGGGAGAGAGAGACGGAAUUCCAGGUGUAGUGGUGAAAUACGUAGAUAUCUGGAAGAACACCAGUUGCGAAGGCGGUCUCUUGGUCCGAUACUGACGCUGAGGAGCGAAAGCGUGGGGAGCAAACAGG
RNAcentral lists this ribosomal RNA (253 nucleotides) under uncultured bacterium. RNAcentral describes it as "partial 16S ribosomal RNA". It matches the Rfam family "Bacterial small subunit ribosomal RNA", at positions 524 to 776 of the family's 1533-position model. The record is from RNAcentral.